This 277-nucleotide long non-coding RNA is filed under the name Trifolium pratense (red clover). RNAcentral's name for it is "long non-coding RNA (TPRA_LNC006128)". Lineage: Eukaryota; Viridiplantae; Streptophyta; Magnoliopsida; Fabales; Fabaceae. The record is from RNAcentral.
CUAACAACACUAAACCUUAUGCAUUCUCUUUUAUAUAUUAUUAUGCUCACUCACUCUCGUACUAGCUAGCUACUAUCUCAUUCUCAUCAUUGUUUCCAACAAAAUGAGAAAGCUACUACUAGCAAGUUCUCUUUAUGCAUUCUCUUCAUUUUCUCACAAUCCAACACUAGGAGUACGAGGACUCAAGGGAUUUGACUCUAAUGAUCCAGAUUGUGUUAUGCCAAAGGGAUUAAUCGGUCUUUUGAGAUGGAGAUUUAUUAGAAACUACCAAACUGUU